Molecule: ribosomal RNA, 501 nt
Filed under: uncultured bacterium
Lineage: Bacteria
Description: partial 16S ribosomal RNA
Rfam family: Bacterial small subunit ribosomal RNA
Source: RNAcentral
AUUGAACGCUGGCGGCAUGCCUUACACAUGCAAGUCGAACGGCAGCACGGGUGCUUGCACCUGGUGGCGAGUGGCGAACGGGUGAGUAAUACAUCGGAACGUACCUUAUCGUGGGGGAUAACGCAGCGAAAGCUGUGCUAAUACCGCAUACGCCCUGAGGGGGAAAGCGGGGGAUCGCAAGACCUCGCGCGAUUAGAGCGGCCGAUGCCUGAUUAGCGUGUUGGUGGGGUAAAAGCCCACCAAGGCGACGAUCAGUAGCUGGUCUGAGAGGACGAUCAGCCACACUGGGACUGAGACACGGCCCAGACUCCUACGGGAGGCAGCAGUGGGGAAUUUUGGACAAUGGGGGCAACCCUGAUCCAGCAACGCCGCGUGAGAGAAGAAGGCCUUCGGGUUGUAAAGCUCUUUUGUCAGGGAAGAAACACCGGCUCUAACACAGUCCGGGAAUGACGGUACCUGAAGAAUAAGCACCGGCUAACUACGUGCCAGCAGCCGCCGUAA